UAAUACAUGCGCAAAUAUCCCUUUUUGAAAGAAGAGGGAUAGUGUUUAUUAGAUACAGAACCAAUACACCACUUUUACGGGUGGUGUGAAAAAGGUGAUUCAUAGUAACCGAACGGAUCGCAUUAUGGUCAUUUUUAUUAAUGGCUGGCGAUAGAUCAUUCAAGUUUCUGACCUAUCAGCUUUCGACGGUAGUGUAUUGGACUACCGUGGCAGUGACGGGUAACGGGGAAUUAGGGUUCGAUUCCGGAGAGGGAGCCUGAGAAACGGCUACCACAUCUAAGGAAGGCAGCAGGCGCGCAAAUUACCCAAUCCUGACUCAGGGAGGUAGUGACAAGAAAUAACAACACUGGAAAUUUUAUUUCUAGUGAUUGGAAUGAUGGGAAUUUAAACCCCUUUCAGAGUAACAAUUGGAGGGCAAGUCUGGUGCCAGCAGCCGCGGUAAUUCCAGCUCCAAUAGCGUAUAUUAAAGUUGUUGCAGUUAAAAAGCUCGUAGUUGGAUGUCUGCUGGAAGCAAUCAGUCCGCCCUAUUUGUAGGGUGUGCACAUGAUGAAUUCUGGCAUCUAUGUCCCAAUAAUAUAACGGAAGCUAUUGGACGAAAGUUCAAUAGUAUAUUUCCGAUUAUUGGGAUACUGUUACUUUGAGAAAAUUAGAGUGUUUGAAGCAGGCUAAUUGCCUUGAAUACUGCAGCAUGGAAUAACAAUAUAGGAUUUCGGUUCUAUUUUGUUGGUUUUUAGGACUGAAAUAAUGAUUAAUAGGGACAGUUGGGGGCAUUCGUAUUUAACUGUCAGAGGUGAAAUUCUUAGAUUUGUUAAAGACGAACUACUGCG
Molecule: ribosomal RNA, 827 nt
Filed under: Sarcocystis oreamni
Lineage: Eukaryota; Apicomplexa; Conoidasida; Eucoccidiorida; Sarcocystidae
Description: SSU rRNA
Rfam family: Eukaryotic small subunit ribosomal RNA
Source: RNAcentral